UACGGGGGGGGCAAGCGUUGUUCGGAAUUACUGGGCGUAAAGGGCUCGUAGGCGGCCAACUAAGUCAGACGUGAAAUCCCUCGGCUUAACCGGGGAACUGCGUCUGAUACUGGAUGGCUUGAGUUCGGGAGAGGGAUGCGGAAUUCCAGGUGUAGCGGUGAAAUGCGUAGAUAUCAGGAGGAACACCGAUGGCGAAGGCAGCUCGCUGGGACGGUACUGACGCUGAGACGCGAAAGCGUGGGGAGCAAACAGG
This 253-nucleotide ribosomal RNA is filed under the name uncultured bacterium. RNAcentral describes it as "partial 16S ribosomal RNA". It matches the Rfam family "Bacterial small subunit ribosomal RNA", at positions 524 to 776 of the family's 1533-position model. The record is from RNAcentral.